Ochotona curzoniae (black-lipped pika) is the source of this 102-nucleotide small nuclear RNA. Lineage: Eukaryota; Metazoa; Chordata; Mammalia; Lagomorpha; Ochotonidae. The record is from RefSeq and is a predicted model, not a curated record.
GCUCACUUCAGCAGCACAUAUACUAAAAUUGGCACAAUACAGAGAUUAGCAUGGCCCCUGCGCUAGGAUGACAGGCAAAAUCGUGAAGUGUUCCAUAUUUUA